UUUAACCAUAAUCAACCUAUUAUAGUUCUAGUACAAACAUUUUCACCAACUUAAACACUUGAUACUAAUAUAGCGAUACAAACUCUAUUAUGCACUUUUAACAUACAUCACAAUAACUUACACUACAAGAAUUGCCCCCUCACACACAAGCGCAACACAUUACCCAUUCUCUUAAACGACGAGCAUCUCUUCCUCUCACGACUGCUGUUCAACCGACGACAACGACGAUUUCUCAUCUCAAGCCACGACGACGAGGAGUUCUUAUUGGUUUUCAACAACGACGGCGGCGAUUUCUCUUCUCAAACGACAAUUUCUCUUCUCAAAUGACGAUUUCUCAUCUCUGUUGUCGUCUCUCUGCUCGUCGUUGCUAUGUUCGUCAGAUUGACUUGAGGAAGUUUUAAUCCCUCACAGCAAAGGCUUCUCUUUCCAUUGGCAAAUCCUCCAUUUGCUCGAUGAAAUUGAGAUUGGAGAUUUUCAACAAGAGUCAUCAGCAUAUUGUACAGUACAAAACUGCCUAUUAUUCAUUUUGCCUUCCAGUGGCUUGUGCACUGGUUAUGGCAGGUGAAGAUCUUGAGAAACAUACUGCAGUUAAGGACAUUCUUAUUCAGAUUGAUGUUUAUUUUCAAGUUCAGAGAUGAGGCUGCUGAGGCAGGAACUACUACUGCUACAGAAAGAACUGGGACAAGAACUGAAACUACUUCCCUUGAAACCACAACUUCAAUGGAUGACUCUUCAACAUAGAUGCUACCGCUACGCUCCUUUUUAGUGGAUGCUAUUUGAUUAUGGGGGCGUAUGAAAAGAUGAAUACUAUUACUUUGACCUGCAGACGCAUUAUGGAUAUCUUACUCUAUGAAUUGAUUAAGUUUCUUCUUUGAUAGUUUUUUGGGCUUAGUCAUUAAGUGUUUGUUAUAUUUGAUUAGAUCAAACUUUAAAUCUAGUUCUUGGCUUGAUUUAUAUUUGUUGAUGUGGUUGAACUUUUGAAAGUUUGAUUUUAGUCAUUAAACUUUUUUUUCAUUUUCUUAAUUUUGGUUCGUUAAUAUUUAAAACAUCAACAUUAGUCGUCAAGUUUUUCUUUAAGAGAUCAUAUUUAGUCUCUGUUAUGGAUUUUGGUUUGCUUACUCCAUGAAAUUUCUUUUCUCAGGUGGAUGGUACAAGCUACAACUAAUCCAUCAUGUUACAUCAUCCAUAAUCUUGUGGGUCAAAUCAAGUUCAAAAUUUUGUUGUGGCUUAAUGAAAUAGAUGAGCGCUUCCAUGAUAUGGUUUUGCUUAUAUGUUCUAUUAGUUUAGCAUUGCCAAACUUGUGUUGUUGGAUACAUUCAUCACUAAAUACUUUAUUUACCUUUGUAUUAUUAAGUUUAUUAAAUUAAUGAAUACCUUACUUUGUAAUUUUAA
This is a long non-coding RNA of Cucumis sativus (cucumber), 1392 nucleotides long. RefSeq lists it as uncharacterized. The transcript is spliced from 5 exons. NCBI's taxonomy places the organism in Eukaryota, Viridiplantae, Streptophyta, Magnoliopsida, Cucurbitales, Cucurbitaceae. The record is from RefSeq and is a predicted model, not a curated record.